CAGUAGCCGCGGUAAUACGGAGGAUCCAAGCGUUAUCCGGAAUCAUUGGGUUUAAAGGGUCCGUAGGCGGUCUUGUAAGUCAGUGGUGAAAGCCCAUCGCUCAACGGUGGAACGGCCAUUGAUACUGCAGGACUUGAAUUAUUGGGAAGUAACUAGAAUAUGUAGUGUAGCGGUGAAAUGCUUAGAGAUUACAUGGAAUACCAAUUGCGAAGGCAGGUUACUACCAAUUGAUUGACGCUGAUGGACGAAAGCGUGGGUAGCGAACAGGAUUAGAUACCCCAGUAGUCCCUGUCUCUUAUAU
RNAcentral lists this ribosomal RNA (301 nucleotides) under uncultured bacterium. RNAcentral's name for it is "partial 16S ribosomal RNA". It matches the Rfam family "Bacterial small subunit ribosomal RNA", at positions 509 to 809 of the family's 1533-position model. The record is from RNAcentral.